Molecule: long non-coding RNA, 1355 nt
Organism: Anolis carolinensis (green anole)
Lineage: Eukaryota; Metazoa; Chordata; Lepidosauria; Squamata; Anolidae
Exons: 2
Source: RefSeq, a predicted model, not a curated record
UUCUGUCUCCAGGUUAGCUGGCUUAUGAAGCUGGCAAGGCACAACAAUAAUGGAAUUACUAACACAUUUGUGAAGUCUUUUCAUUAACUUUUUUGUAAGAUGCUUAAAACCACAUCAACACUGAUUUGGGUCACUACAUAAAGUUCAGGUUACAAAGAAAAUCAAAACAUAUUUUGAAUAAUUGUUACAGGAUUUCUUCAUAGGUAUUUUGAAAAAAAAUCAGUAGGAUAAUGAGAUUUGACUCCUUUCAAAAAGAGAAACUUUGUGUUGUUUUCACAAAAAUGUGCUGUUGUUAAAGAGUUCACUUCAGUAGAAUAAUCCAAAAAUAGUGCAGUGUUGUGUCAAGGCUCAUUAUUCAGUCACAAAGGCAAAGGAUGACCAGAAACACAGGGUUCCAAAGCCAGUGCAUAGGGGAAGCCUGGAGAAAUGUUUAGUCCUUCCAGAUCCAAUGGAGAGGAUGUGAAGCUGUUUUACUAAGAUCGUGAUUUGUACGUCUGUUUUACUCAAGCUGGUUUCCUGCAUUGAUUGAUACACGAAGAGAUUCCCCAUGAUUUCUUCAUAAAUAUAAUGGUUCCAUGGUUGAUUGGGAAUUCUCCAGAGUUGUAAUCCAACACUCAAACCACUACACUAUACUAUCUGAUUCAUAUGCCAUUACAAAUAAUGGAGAAAUUGGAAAUGGAACUGAAUAAAGAAGAUUUAGCAUAUGUUAUUGAACUGAAAAAAGGUGAGGAUCAAGGGAAACAAAUGUAGAGUAAAAUGUUUUCGAGUUUGUCAAAUAUAUGGCACAUAUUUAGUUCAGCACAUUCAUUAGUUUCCUUUGUGUGCAUGAACCUUAAUUGAUAUUAGGUACCUGGAAUGUUUAGUAAAAUUGAUCACAAACAUUUUGCCAAAUGUGAUACCACUAUAGUAAAUUCAGCACAGAGAUUUCACAUAACUCCCACAUACUCCAAAUGUGAAGUCUGCUUUUUUAUUUUGAUCAUGGUUUUUAGAUUAAGCACAAUUCAUUACUGAAUGCGAUGCUGGUAUUGAAAGUCUUAACUGCCAACUGUGUCAACUGAGUACCAAAUAAGACAUAACAUGCUGAUGAGUGUAAUUUUCUCCCAUUGUCUUUUUAUCCCACUCCCUCCAGCAGCUUUUGAAUGGUCAACAAGAAAGAAAGAAGCAAGGUAGUGCUGCUUAACCCAUUUCACCAAUCCAUUUUUAAGGGAAGUGGUUUCAAGGGAUUGAUCUGCAACCAAAAAAUGAAUGGCAGUGAAGAGGUUGCUCCACUGUCAUCUUCCAAAUGCCUUCUGUGUAAAAUCAAACAUAAAAAAACCCAGAUACUGUAGACAACAUACACAUCUGAAUGAAAUGUC